AGGACGAACGCUGGCGGCGUGCUUAACACAUGCAAGUCGAGCGGAAAGGCCCUUCGGGGUACUCGAGCGGCGAACGGGUGAGUAACACGUGAGUAAUCUGCCCCUAGCUCUGGGAUAGCUCCGGGAAACCGGGAUUAAUACCGGAUACGACCACUACGGACAUCUGUGGUGGUGGAAAGAACUUCGGCUAGGGAUGAGCUCGCGGCCUAUCAGCUUGUUGGUGGGUAACGCCUACCAAGGCGACGACGGGUA
Molecule: ribosomal RNA, 252 nt
Filed under: uncultured bacterium
Lineage: Bacteria
Description: partial small subunit ribosomal RNA
Rfam family: Bacterial small subunit ribosomal RNA
Source: RNAcentral